GCCGGUGUAGCUCAAAUGGUAGAGCAACUGACUUGUAAUCAGUAGGUUGGGGGUUCAAGUCCUCUCGCCGGCCCCA
Molecule: transfer RNA, 76 nt
Filed under: Paenibacillus polymyxa
Lineage: Bacteria; Bacillati; Bacillota; Bacilli; Caryophanales; Paenibacillaceae
Description: tRNA-Thr
Rfam family: tRNA
About the family: Transfer RNA (tRNA) molecules are approximately 80 nucleotides in length. Their secondary structure includes four short double-helical elements and three loops (D, anti-codon, and T loops). Further hydrogen bonds mediate the characteristic L-shaped molecular structure. tRNAs have two regions of fundamental functional importance: the anti-codon, which is responsible for specific mRNA codon recognition, and the 3' end, to which the tRNAs corresponding amino acid is attached (by aminoacyl-tRNA synthetases). tRNAs cope with the degeneracy of the genetic code in two manners: having more than one tRNA (with a specific anti-codon) for a particular amino acid; and 'wobble' base-pairing, i.e. permitting non-standard base-pairing at the 3rd anti-codon position.
Source: RNAcentral